UCGUGUUUAUGACGUUUAUGACGUCGAAUAUCGACGUCAUAAACACCAAACUUGAUGAUGUUUAUGACGUCGAUAUUCGACGUCAUAAACACCAAAC
RNAcentral lists this microRNA precursor (97 nucleotides) under Paramuricea clavata. Lineage: Eukaryota; Metazoa; Cnidaria; Anthozoa; Malacalcyonacea; Plexauridae. The record is from RNAcentral.